GACGAACGCUGGCGGCGUGCUUAACACAUGCAAGUCGAACGGAAAGGCCCUGCUUUUGUUGGGUGCUCGAGUGGCGAACGGGUGAGUAACACGUGAGUAACCUGCCCUUGACUUUGGGAUAACUUCAGGAAACUGGGGCUAAUACAGGAUAGGAGCUCCUGCUGCAUGGUGGGGGUUGGAAAGUUUCGGCGGUUGGGGAUGGACUCGCGGCUUGUCAGCUUGUUGGUGGGGUAGGGGCUUAGCACGGCUUUGACGGGUAGCCGGCCUGAGAGGGUGACCGGCCACAUUGGGACUGAGACGCGGCCCAGACUCCUACGGGAUGCAGCAGUGGGGACUAUUCCACAGUGGGCGGAAGCCUGGUGCAGCAGCGCCGCGUGCGGGAUGACGGCCUUCGGGUUGUAAACCGCUUUCGCCUGUGACGAAGCGUGAGUGACGGUAAUGGGUAAAGAAGCACCGGCUAACUACGUG
This 468-nucleotide ribosomal RNA is filed under the name uncultured bacterium. Its description in RNAcentral is "partial 16S ribosomal RNA". It matches the Rfam family "Bacterial small subunit ribosomal RNA", at positions 28 to 507 of the family's 1533-position model. The record is from RNAcentral.